This is a small nuclear RNA of Neogale vison (American mink), 103 nucleotides long. The record is from Ensembl. Lineage: Eukaryota; Metazoa; Chordata; Mammalia; Carnivora; Mustelidae.
GUGCUUAUUUCAGCACACAUACUAAAAUUGGAACAGUGCAGGGAAGGUUAGCAUGGUCCCUGUGUAGGAUGACAUUCAUGUUUGUAAAGUGUGUGAUAUUUUA